CUCUGAGAUCAUGACCCAAGCCAAAGUCAGAUGCUUAACUGACUAAGCUACCCAGGCACCCUGAAGUUCUCACCUUUAGAAGCCUUGAGAGACACAUCAGAGCCCUGGGCACUGUCACAGCCACAGUACAACAGGACGUGGUCAGAGCCUCCAGGAGAUGAGACAAGGGAGCUAUGGGGUGGGUGAGCUCCUCAUGGGGCCCCGUCUGCACUACCCAGGGUCUCAGGGAUCACCCCGUCCAUACUUACUUGCAGACUGAGUGUAGCUCCAUCUUUUCCCCUGUGAGAACAAAACAUCGUGUCAGAGGCCAGGGAGAAGGCUUGGGCCCUGAGGUCCUAAAGGGGCCCCUGAAAUUUUGGCCUCCAAAGAAAUUUCCAGAACUUUAACUACAGACCUAGGGCAAGAUUACACAAUGUGAGGUGUGAUUUUCGAAAGAGUAUUAGCAAAUAGGGUCCAACUGGGUAAGCACAUGUGUGUGGAUGGUGCCUCUCAGGACUGAGGCAACACACUGGAAAAUUACAUAUGGCUUGAAGCCCUCCCCCCGCCACCCCAUCACUCUCCCCGCAACCUCGUGCAAGAAAACUCUGACCUCACCCCUUUCCCUGCUGGAGCUCUUCCUCCUCCAGGUCCCAGGUCCAGUGACCACAGCUCCAAGGACAGCCAAACCAGCAAUGAUUCCCAUGAUGGGGAUGUUGGAGUGACACGGGGGCUCUGGGAACGAAAGGGAAGGUGAGAGUUCUGACCCCUGGGCCUCAGCUGUGAUGCCGCUGAAGGUCUACAGAAGGUGUCAUGAAUUCUGCUGUCUGUGGAUAAAAUCCACCCCUUCAUCCCCCUUCUUACCCCAUCUCAGGCUGACGGGAUCCUGCAGCCUCCCGUGCUGCACAGGCAUGUGUAUCUCUGCUCCUCUCCCGGAAGGCACCACUACAGCCGCCCAUUUCUGGAAGGUCCCGGCUCGGCAGGCCUGGUGUCCACAAGCUCCGUGUCCUGGGUCAGGUCCUCCCCAUCACACUGCCAGGUCACAGUAAUCUCUGUCUGGUAGAAGCCCACAGCCCUUCACCUCAGGGUCCCCUCAUGGUCAGAGAUGGGGUGGCAGGUCACAUGUGUCUGUGGAGGAUCUGAGGAGAAGGGUCAGAGACUUUAGGAACUUUGCAUCAUCCCCCGGGGACCACCGAAGCAGCACUCAUGUGACCAUGCUGAGAAUGGAGAGGACAAUGGGGUGGGCAGGGGAGUGCAAGACUCACAUCCCAGCCGGAGCUCCAGGAUCUGGGAUAACUUCCCAUCCCUUGGGAAGGUCUGGAGGCAGGGUAAGUAAGACAGCCUAGGGGAGGAGGCUCAGGGUCCCUGAGUGAGGGAACAGAGACUUCUAGUCCUGACCUGGUAGAGGAGGCCCAGUGGCUCAAAACCCCUGGAGUCAGCCCUCCAAUGAAGUUGGGCAUGGGACAGAGAGCAAGGCUUGAGGGAGGACGUCACCUGGGGGUGCCCAAGGUGAAUACCAGGGUCAAGGAAACCUGCUAUUGAAUUCUUUUAGAGAUAUGUCUCUCCACAGAGACUGGAUCCCCUCUGUCCUGAGAGAAGGAUGGGUCCUGCGAGCCAGUCUCUCUCUGACACAGGAUCCGAAAACCCAGGGGAACUCCUCACCCUCAGGACCCAAGGAGGGGGACAGGGAAGAAUUCUGGUGUCAAUCCUAUUUUCCUCCCUUUCGGUGGGGCCAGCAGGAGGUACAGCACCUGCCCCAGGGGAGAUCAGGAGGCCUGGCGGCCCCACACACCUGCUUCCUACAAGGUCUCUUUCCCUUUCUCCAGGUACAGGUGGAGCCCCAGCACGUACUCCCUCUGCAGGUAACACCCGGUAGUGCUUGGCUGCUCAGGCAGCUUCCCACUGGCGCCCAAGGAUCCGAACCGCCUCCUCCGCUGCCCUCCAGGAGUGCAGGUCCUCCUUCAGGGGGCUGUAAUCGGCGCCCUCCUAGCGAAUUGCUCACACCCGCCGAGGUGGUUCGCAUCGAACCCUAAGUUGCAGCCAGAAGUGCCUUGGAAGUGGCGGAGGGCGGUGUGCAGGUUCGGUCGGGAGGUCGGUGCGUGCACCUUGGCGAUCUCCGUCUGCUCGUCCCAAACUGUGUCCCUCCUGCUCCACCCACGGCUUCCACAGCUCUACCCUCGGACUCGCGGCGUCGUUGUGGAAUCGCAGGAACUGCGUGUGGUCCACUUGGCCCACCGAGACGUACAGCGCCUCCCCGCGACCGGUCCGGGACACCGCGGUGUGGAAACACCUCAAGGAGUGGGAACUGUGGGCACAAAGGGGCUGAGACCCCGUCCGACCCUCCUCCAGGCCCGGAGCCGGGUCCCAGAUGGAGGCAGCCGGGAGGGCAGGGCGGGGUGCCCCCCCCCGGGGGGGGGGGGGGG
Molecule: long non-coding RNA, 2399 nt
Organism: Herpailurus yagouaroundi (jaguarundi)
Lineage: Eukaryota; Metazoa; Chordata; Mammalia; Carnivora; Felidae
Exons: 3
Source: RefSeq, a predicted model, not a curated record